RNAcentral lists this transfer RNA (73 nucleotides) under Cyphomyrmex costatus. It matches the Rfam family "tRNA". Rfam says of the family: Transfer RNA (tRNA) molecules are approximately 80 nucleotides in length. Their secondary structure includes four short double-helical elements and three loops (D, anti-codon, and T loops). The record is from Rfam by way of RNAcentral. Lineage: Eukaryota; Metazoa; Arthropoda; Insecta; Hymenoptera; Formicidae.
GCCUCGGUAGUCUAAUUGGCUAGGAUACUUGCGUGUAAAGCAAGAUGUCCGGAUUUGACUCCCAGCCGAAGUA